RNAcentral lists this transfer RNA (77 nucleotides) under Allobosea sp. Its description in RNAcentral is "tRNA-Arg". It matches the Rfam family "tRNA". Rfam says of the family: Transfer RNA (tRNA) molecules are approximately 80 nucleotides in length. Lineage: Bacteria; Pseudomonadati; Pseudomonadota; Alphaproteobacteria; Hyphomicrobiales; Alloboseaceae. The record is from RNAcentral. RNAcentral also lists the same sequence under 2 other names.
GCGCCCGUAGCUCAGCUGGAUAGAGCGUUGCCCUCCGAAGGCAAAGGUCAGAAGUUCGAAUCUUCUCGGGCGCGCCA